This 460-nucleotide ribosomal RNA is filed under the name uncultured bacterium. RNAcentral describes it as "partial 16S ribosomal RNA". It matches the Rfam family "Bacterial small subunit ribosomal RNA", at positions 338 to 795 of the family's 1533-position model. The record is from RNAcentral.
CCUACGGGUGGCAGCAGUGAGGAAUAUUGGUCAAUGGACGAGAGUCUGAACCAGCCAAGUAGCGUGAAGGAUGACUGCCCUAUGGGUUGUAAACUUCUUUUAUAAAGGAAUAAAACGAGGCACGUGUGCCUUUUUGCAUGUCCUUUAUGAAUAAGGAUCGGCUAACUCCGUGCCAGCAGCCGCGGUAAUACGGAGGAUCCGAGCGUUAUCCGGAUUUAUUGGGUUUAAAGGGAGCGUAGAUGGGUUGUUAAAUCAGUUGUGAAAGUUUGCGGCUCAACCGUAAAAUUGCAAUUGAUACUGGCAGUCGUGAGUACAGUUGAGGUAGGCGGAAUUCGUGGUGUAGCGGUGAAAUGCUUAGAUAUCACGAAGAACCCCGAUUGCGAAGGCAGCUUACUAAACUGUGACUGACAUUGAUGCUCGAAAGUGUGGGUAUCAAACAGGAUUAGAUACCCUAGUAGUC